UUCCUGUUCGUCAUCGUCAUCAUCGUCGUCGUCCUCCUCAGUGUUUACAUCAUCGUCGUCGUCGUCCUCGUCCUCCUCAUGAGUUGCCAUGCCAUCCUCCUCCACAGCCGUGGUUCCUCGCUUCCCCACGGACACUGCAGUCGGUGGGUGGUGGAAGCAGGGCUGCUGGUGAUCCGCGUGCAGUGGAGGCGGCGGUUGCAUCUGCGGAGGUGGCGCGGAAGCUAAGUUUGCGGUGGCGGUGGCGUUGUGGUAGGCGCACAUCUCGCGGAAGAAGAGGUGCUUGGAAUUGAGGAGCUUGCGGGCCUCCUCCUUGGCCUUGGGGGAGAGGUCCAUGGUGUCGAGAAGGGCCUGGUUC
RNAcentral lists this long non-coding RNA (355 nucleotides) under Elaeis guineensis (African oil palm). RNAcentral's name for it is "long non-coding RNA (EGUI_LNC054003)". The record is from RNAcentral. Lineage: Eukaryota; Viridiplantae; Streptophyta; Magnoliopsida; Arecales; Arecaceae.